RNAcentral lists this long non-coding RNA (543 nucleotides) under Crocodylus porosus (Australian saltwater crocodile). RNAcentral describes it as "lncRNA (ENSCPRG00005007798.1)". The record is from RNAcentral. Lineage: Eukaryota; Metazoa; Chordata; Crocodylia; Crocodylidae.
CUCUCCCCUUCACUUCUAUUUAUUUAGCUUGGAUUUAUUAGCUCCCAUGGAGGAGAGAAAGCAGCGAGCGGCAAGCUCUUCUUGAUGAAUGGCCUCACAUCAAGAAGAGAGAGAGGAAACACCUUGCGUGCAGCCGAAAGGAAGCUGCAAUUGCAGCUGGGCGCCGCCAAGCCCCUCGUUCUCAUGGACGUGGAUUCUGUGAAGUGGGACUCUCGUCAUACUGGGCUUUCAUUUAACUUCACUGGGACAAGGACGGUGGUUGUGUCAGACCAAACCCUACCCACCUUGGAUGCUGUAUCCACCACAGACAAUACAAUGCUGGAAUCAGCAGCGGAGACAGUUUAUGGAAGCAGACUGGACUUCCCAGUUAUCCUGACAAGAACUCUGCGCCUGGCCACAAACGUUUGUAGAAAUUCGUACGCGCCGUGCAGUUCAACCUGCGGCAACCUGGAGCACUUCUGCACUGUCAUAGUGACGUUCGAUUUUGGCAACGUGGUGAUAAGAAAGCCGCUAACCAUCCAUCACCUUGGGACUCAGGGCUAA